GCAGAGAAUGUGUCUUUGCUGCAGCCUGCCUGGUCUUGUGAUGCAAUCAAUGAGAUUAAAUCAUUGACUGGCCAGGCCAUGGGAGGCCUGGAUGAAAUAUAACACUAUGGCAGGCAGGCUCGGAAAACACCCAGCCUCACCAACUCAGGCUGCUGGACGCCUGCUGUGCUCAGGCUGACGUCUCCAAAGGUCGUCAGGCAGCUAGCAGCAAAGCUAACAGCUGCUCAUGCGCCCUUUUAAUCACGCAGAGUCCAUUUUAAACCCCACUCAGGCGAACAGCACGUACACCCACCGUCUAACGUCCCUUCUACCGCAAUGACCUCUUCAAAAACACCCGUUUAAAUACAGGGGAAAGUGUUGCUGACGUCUCCAGGGUAGUUCCCUUCACCAAGCCGCUAAGCUAGGAUAAUGGUCGAUAACCCAGCAGACGUUGUCGCGCAUUUGCAAACCACCCAGAAGGCAAUAAACGACCUCAACCGCUUUAACGUCUUUCGAAAUUUCGCCAGCGUUCACGACAGCCUUAUCAGCGGCAAGUUUGGAAACGAUGACAGCUGGGCCAGUGGGGAGACACUUCCGUCUCCAUUCCCCGCCUCCAGCAGCCUUCGCCAGCCACUCAGUGAAAGGAUUUCCUCCACAUCGCCCCGCCCAUAUUAUCUGUAAUCUGCUGUCUGAUUGGAUAAUUGCUCUGAUGGAGGAAAAAGGCAGAGCGCCGGCAGCAGAGGAGGUGGCAUUCUGCGAUGAUGGUACCUAUGAGGAGGGAGUCAGGUGGCAACCCCAAGUUUCCCCAUCCAGGAGCUCAGUGACCUCAGGUCUACACUAGGAGAGACGCCGGGCCUCGAACGCACCACAAAGAUGGAUCAUGUUUGGACAAAACGAAAUACAAAAUUUGAUUGAUUAGAUUGAUUGGUUGAAAACACCACCAGACGGUCCAGAAGUGGACAAGCAUUUAUGUUUUCUUUUGUGUGGAAACAGUGAAAA
Molecule: long non-coding RNA, 978 nt
Organism: Poeciliopsis prolifica (blackstripe livebearer)
Lineage: Eukaryota; Metazoa; Chordata; Actinopteri; Cyprinodontiformes; Poeciliidae
Exons: 3
Source: RefSeq, a predicted model, not a curated record